AAAGCACCGUCUGCUGGGCAUGUUCAUGGGCUUGCCGUAACGGCUGGUCAACAGGUUCCUGACAGUAGUGUUCUCUUCAGCAUCAAGGUUAGCAAUUUCUUUACAACGAACUUUUUCAACGAAUCAACAAAUCUAAAUGAAGAUUAGUUGACUAUUUCUCCUGAUAUUACUCACAGGAGUAGUAUCCAGACCAGAAAGAAUAAUUCAAAAUAAAACAAAUAAGUGGGCGUGACAAAUUGUUACGACGACGGUGAUUGUUUGUGGCUUAGGGGCAUCGCUGCUUGGUAAACCUGAGAUGGUGCUCAUUUGCGACAAGGAGUGGAAGUUCACUCAAUGCCGGCGAGGAAAGGCAGUCACUAAAAUGUAUAAAAUGUUAUUCGUUACAUUGUAUAUUUACACAGCCAAACGCGCAAUUUCUGCUCUCAUCUAUUGGUGGAGUCGAUCGGACCUGUAAAACCUGUACAUUUUUCGGGAUUCAUUGGCAGAUGUUCCAUUUAUUGGAUGGCUUUCG
RNAcentral lists this long non-coding RNA (511 nucleotides) under Eucalyptus grandis. RNAcentral's name for it is "long non-coding RNA (EGRA_LNC004680)". The record is from RNAcentral. Lineage: Eukaryota; Viridiplantae; Streptophyta; Magnoliopsida; Myrtales; Myrtaceae.